AGCUUUAUAGUUUAUUUAAAAUAUUAAAUUGCAAAUUUAAAGAUAAAUUAUUGUUUUAAAGCUU
This 64-nucleotide transfer RNA is filed under the name Haliplus immaculatus. Its description in RNAcentral is "tRNA-Cys". Lineage: Eukaryota; Metazoa; Arthropoda; Insecta; Coleoptera; Haliplidae. The record is from RNAcentral.